Mus musculus (house mouse) is the source of this 1315-nucleotide long non-coding RNA. RefSeq annotates it as RIKEN cDNA 6430411K18 gen. NCBI's taxonomy places the organism in Eukaryota, Metazoa, Chordata, Mammalia, Rodentia, Muridae. The transcript has a single exon. The record is from RefSeq and is marked validated.
CUCAGAGGAUCUGUCAAAGUACCUUAGAUUUGCCCUAAUGGACAUAAGCAGCAGUGGGCGCAGAAACCUUGCUCUGAAGCCUCUCUGGUUCCAACAUCUGCGGAAGAGUGCUUGUGUGUCACCUUCAGCUGGCAUCUCCAUAACACCAAAAUUGAAGUGUGAGAAGAAGAAGACCCAAUGCCCGGGGAGAAGUACGGUGAGCCUGUCAUUAUUCAGAGAGGCUAGAUCCUCUGUGUUGAGAAGGAUCAUGAUGGGCUCCUCGGUGUUCUCCAGGUAGCGGCACCACACCAUGAAGGCAGCCCGGAUUGGAAGGAUCCUCAUCUCCACUCGAGGGUACUCCACCUCCAUUGUAGAGAGGGGUCUUGAAUAGAAAGCACAGGUAGAUUUCUUGCCAGUUUCGUCGUCGGUUUGGACCAGGGAGGCAGACAGGAAUGACCCAGUGAUGUCUGUUUCCAAGUAGAAUGGGUUCUGAGGCUUAGGGUGAUAGAGAACGGGCGACUUGCGGAAAGCCCUCUUCAGGGAUUCCAAGGCCUCCUGCUCCUCUUCUCCCCAGUAGUAGGGCUCUGAACUCAGCAGUUGUCUCACUAGGGGUGCUGCGAUGACAGCGAAGUUCUCCACGAAGUGGCGAUAGGGAUAGACAAGGUCAAUCACACUUUGAAGACACCUCCUGCUGCCAGGGACAGGGCACCCCACGAUGAGGUUCAUAAGGUUCUUGUUCAGUUUCACCCCUUUGGGGGAUAUGUUGAAGCCCAAGAUUUCAGCGGUCUGGCGAUGGAACUGAGUUUUGUCCAGUGAACAGUAGAUGUUGUGAUACCGAAAGCGGACCAGGACUUGGCGGACAUGCUGGGAGUGUUCCUCCUGGCUCAUUGAGUAGACCAGGACCUCUCUGCCAUGGCAAAUCACAAACAACCCUAGGAUGUCUUUUAGGAUGAAGUGAACAAUGUUGUUCCCUUCGUCAGAGUAUGAGUUCAUUGUGAAGGGCCGGUAGCAUCUCAUCUGGUGAAGGCCGAAACCGAACGAUGCUCUCCAAGUGUCUUCCGUGUGUGUGACCGUGUGCCUCAUCUCACUUUCCUUAAUCCCAAGCAGCUCCAGUUUUGUGAACCAUGCCGCUCCAUGUAGCUGGUCGAAUAGCUCUGGUACCAUCUGCGUGUAGUCUUGUCUGUCAGUCAGCAUGUCAUACAGUAUCCAGUAUUCCUCUUGCUCCCUGGCUUUCUCUUGCUGCCUGGCUUUCUCUUGCAUCCUGGCGCUCACAGGUUCCAAAGUCUCUCGGGCCCCAGACUCGUAAAAGACGCCGCUUUGAUCACUGUCUCCAGCC